This 1251-nucleotide ribosomal RNA is filed under the name marine metagenome. RNAcentral's name for it is "bacterial LSU rRNA". It matches the Rfam family "Bacterial large subunit ribosomal RNA", at positions 1113 to 2478 of the family's 2925-position model. The record is from RNAcentral.
CAGCCAUCCUUUAAAGAAAGCGUAACAGCUCACUGGUCUAAUUAAGAGAUCCUGCACCGAAAAUGUAACGGGGCUCAAAUCAUUUACCGAAGCUUUGACAAUUACUUUGUAAUUGGGUAGCGGAGCGUUCUGUAAGCCUGUGAAGGUGAUGCGUAAGCAUUGCUGGAGGUAUCAGAAGUGCGAAUGCUGACAUGAGUAACGAUAAGAAAUGUGAAAGACAUUUCCGCCGAAAUCCUAAGGUUUCCUGCGUAAAGCUAAUCUGCGCAGGGUUAGUCGGCCCCUAAGGCGAGGGCGAAAGCCGUAGUCGAUGGGAAGCAGGUUAAUAUUCCUGCACCAGCUGGUAGUGACGGAUGAAGUAAAUUGUGAGUUCUUACUGGAUUGAACUUGCUGUGAAUUUGUCCCUGGAAAUAGCUCCAGCAUAAGACCGUACCAAAACCGACACAGGUAGGAGGGUAGAGAAUACCAAGGCGCUUGAGAGAACUAUGUUGAAGGAACUCGGCAAAUUACACUUGUAACUUCGGGAUAAAAGUGACCUGCUAUUGGGCAACCAGUAGGAGGUGGCACAGAAGAGGGGGUAGCGACUGUUUACUAAAAACAUAGCACUAUGCAAAGUCGAAAGACGACGUAUAUGGUGUGACGCCUGCCCGGUGCCGGAAGGUUAAUAGGAGGGGUGCAAGCCCUGAAUUGAAGCCCCGGUGAACGGCGGCCGUAACUAUAACGGUCCUAAGGUAGCGAAAUUCCUUGUCGGGUAAGUUCCGACCUGCACGAAUGGCGUAACGAUUUCCCCACUGUCUCCAACAUAGACUCAGUGAAAUUGAAUUCUCGGUUAAGAUGCCGAGUAACCGUGGUUAGACGGAAAGACCCCGUGCACCUUUACUGCAGCUUUGUAUUGGUAUUAGGGAACAGAUGUGUAGCAUAGGUGGGAGACUUUGAAGGAGUGGCGCUAGCCAUUCUGGAGUCACUAGUGAAAUACCACUCUUCUGUUCCUUGAUGCCUAACCAUACACCGUUAUCCGGUGUUGGGACCAUGCAUGGUGGGCAGUUUGACUGGGGCGGUCGCCUCCCAAAGAGUAACGGAGGCGCGCGAUGGUAGGCUCAGAACGCUUGGAAACCGUUCGUCGAGUGCAAUGGCAUAAGCCUGCCUGACUGCGAGACCCACAAGUCGAGCAGAGACGAAAGUCGGUCAUAGUGAUCCGGUGGCACUUCGUGGAAGGGCCAUCGCUCAACGGAUAAAAGGUACGCCGGGGAUAAC